GAUGAACGCUAGCAGGGGGCCUAACACAUGCAAGUCGAAUGGGUUUAGACCCAUGGCAAACGGGUGCGUAACACGUGCUUUACCUACCUCGGAGUGGGGGAUACCAUCGGAAACGGUGCUAAUCCCCCAUACGUCCUACGGGAGAAAGAUUUAUCGCUCUGAGAGGGAGGCGCGGCCUAUUAGUUAGUUGGUGAGGUAAAGGCUCACCAAGACGAUGAUGGGUAGCUGGUCUGAGAGGAUGAUCAGCCACAAUGGAACUGAGACACGGUCCAUACCCCUACGGGGGGCAGCAGUGGGGAAUCUUGCGCAAUGGACGAAAGUCUGACGCAGCCACCCUGCGUGGAGGAUGAAGCAUUAAGGUGUGUAAACUCCUUUUCUGGAGGAAGACGACUGACGGUACUCCAGGAAUAAGCGACGGCUAACUACG
RNAcentral lists this ribosomal RNA (427 nucleotides) under uncultured bacterium. RNAcentral's name for it is "bacterial SSU rRNA". It matches the Rfam family "Bacterial small subunit ribosomal RNA", at positions 28 to 505 of the family's 1533-position model. The record is from RNAcentral.